Peromyscus maniculatus bairdii (prairie deer mouse) is the source of this 188-nucleotide non-coding RNA. The record is from RefSeq and is a predicted model, not a curated record. Lineage: Eukaryota; Metazoa; Chordata; Mammalia; Rodentia; Cricetidae.
GCGUUCCUCCUUCCAUGCUGUGUCUGCUCUGAUCUCACAUGACCCCUGCCAAGCAAAUGAGACCCAGACCCUUGACCUGACUCACUCGAUAUCUGUGGCUCCCAUCACAGCCCGGCUCCUCCCAUAUUGACAUACAGCUGAGUCUGUUCACUCAGAUGCUGACUGUAGAGGGUGCUGAAAUAUCACAA